GACGAGCCUCACAAACGUUAUUCGGAAUUAUUGGGCGUAAAGAGCUCGUAGGCGGUCUGUCGCGUCGGCUGUGAAAACCCGGGGCUCAACCCCGGGCCUGCAGUCGAUACGGGCAGACUAGAGUUCGGUAGGGGAGACUGGAAUUCCUGGUGUAGCGGUGAAAUGCGCAGAUAUCAGGAGGAACACCGGUGGCGAAGGCGGGUCUCUGGGCCGAAACUGACGCUGAGGAGCGAAAGCGUGGGGAGCGAACAGG
Molecule: ribosomal RNA, 253 nt
Filed under: uncultured bacterium
Lineage: Bacteria
Description: partial 16S ribosomal RNA
Rfam family: Bacterial small subunit ribosomal RNA
Source: RNAcentral